GUGACCUGCAUGGCUGCUACACUUCGCGUCCAGAGUAGCAUUGCUGUGGUGACGAAGAGGGUGACACACUGGAACACCACCACAGGCUUGUAACGCAGCCAGUCAGUCAGCAGGAACACGGGCACCAGCACAGACAGAUUCUUGUCCGGUCCUGUCAAGUAUGGGAUGAGAAAAGGCUCCAGGGGCUUAACUGUGCUGAAGAAUCCAUACAUGCACAGCAGAGUAGUGGGAUACCUCCAGUCUGCCCUCCACCUCCUCACUGCCUCCAUCUUCUGCCGGUCUUCUACCUGUUUCAGCCCAGGUCACCUUGAUGUGGCCCACGGAGAAGGCCGCUGCAGCACCUGGCCCGCGGAGGAGAAAGAUGAAGUGAUUAAUCUGUCAUUCCAGUGGACAACACCUCCACUGUGCCUGUGCAGCCUUGUUGUGAAUCAUUCAUUAAUCCUAACAACAUUUCUUUCCUUGAACGUUGGUACAAAGGACAAUGCAGCCUCUAAACAAAACUUCGUGCAAAGGCCUUUGCUGGCCUCCGCAGCACCUGGCUAUUAUGAUGAACCACUUCCACCUGACUCCUGGAAUCAAUGAUCAGCAAUAAUCAGAGAAUCCAUUACCUCCUAACUCUAUCUCCUUAAUUGAAGCAAUUACUCUUCUUCUCAUGCUGAGCCAGGUUGAGCAUAAGCCAACAGGACCAUGGUGCUGCUAUUCCCUUUCAAAAUCAAUAAACAUUUUCCAUUUAAUCAGGCAUCCUAUAAAACCAAGAAUGGCAUGGUUGUUUUCUUUUAAUUGCAAGUUUUUAUAGGUCUAUGUGCCAUCAGACAUGGCAGCUUUUAAUAACAUUGUUAAAUUUUAUUUUGCUCUAUAUAAUGUGAUUGUGCUGCAAACUUCUGCUCCCUGCCGUGUUAAUUUUGCUCCUGAUUCCUGUUCUCAAUGUGGUGAUCAUCCCCUGCUUCUGUCAAAUUUUUGUUCUUCUUUGAUUUUACACUGUCCAAAAGCAACUUUCACUCUUUCUUUAAAUGUGUGCACAUUAUUCUGCUUUUUUUUUUAAUGUCCUGUUUCGAUGAAAAUGCUUUUGGAAGGUAAUAUUUACAUAAAGGAUAAAGCUGGCGAUAUUCUAUAUUUCUGUUAUUGUCAACAAAUCCCAUAAAAAGACCAAAACCAACGAUAUGUUACUCUGUCUCUCAAUACUUUCUGACUUCCAUACCCUGUGGCAUUCAGCCCCAAGCCCAUUCUUUUCCAUUGAAGACGUAAAUCUUCACAAAUGGGUAGCAAAUAUAUUCUUUCUAUAUAUUUAAAUAUAGGCUAAAUAAUUCCCUAAAACAGUUCUUGGCAAAUAUUACUCAAACAGGAGUAAAUUGUGUUUUUUUUCUCUCUUAGGAACCAGAUUUUCAGCAAUGAAUGGGAUGGUGUAUGUGGGACAACUCAAAAUAAACCACAGUGCCCACAUUCAUUGUAAUGACGGAACAUACCAGUGCAACAGUGUGGCUAAUUGGUGUGUUUUUAAUAUGGCACAGAGGAAUGAGCUAUAUCAUGGGAUUUGUUGACAUUAAGAAAAAUAAAGAAUAUCACCAGACUUAUCCUUUAAGUACUGUACAUGUUGAUACUGAAUCAGACUGAAGUAGCUCAAGUAUGAUCUUACCAGAAAUGGGAACCACAAAAUAUAGUUUUUCUCUUUCUCUUUCUGUAUGGUUUUCUUUCUUACACACACACACACACACACACACACACACACAUACUG
Molecule: long non-coding RNA, 1732 nt
Organism: Siniperca chuatsi (mandarin fish)
Lineage: Eukaryota; Metazoa; Chordata; Actinopteri; Centrarchiformes; Sinipercidae
Exons: 3
Source: RefSeq, a predicted model, not a curated record